Molecule: long non-coding RNA, 1922 nt
Filed under: Nicotiana tabacum (common tobacco)
Lineage: Eukaryota; Viridiplantae; Streptophyta; Magnoliopsida; Solanales; Solanaceae
Description: long non-coding RNA (NTAB_LNC013355)
Source: RNAcentral
UCCACAGCAGCCUAAUUCCAUUUCCAAGAUUUUGAACCUGCUGAUUUGGCCAAUUAGUAGCCAAAUCCACAGGCAUCAGCUUACAACCAAACAGAUAAAAAAACACUAUAAAAGGAUUUAGAUAAAAGGAGAAGUUGUCUACUCAAACAAAGGUAAGAGAACUGACUUCAAAACCUCACAAUCAGUCCCAAUGACUAGAAGUUCUAGCUAUGGACAUAAACAAAGCUAAGUUUGCAAAACUAAAACUCAUAAGGUAAUCAGAUACAGACUAGCUUGUUCAUGUUCAAAGUGUAAACAUACAUAUUCAAGGUUUAGGUACAUUCAUAUCAUUAUAGGCUAAAUACUAUCAUGAAAAGGACAUUCAUUUUCACAAACACCAUUCAUAUUUCAUAACAACAUUACAUGAAGAAGGUAAAGUUCAGUACCUUGCACAACAACAACUAAAAGGUGCAAAAAGCUGGCUGAAACGUUAAACAAAAUGGAGCAGCAAUAGGACAGGAGCAACAGCAACCAAAAACUCCAAAAUUUCAGACCCAAGACCAGCCACUUGAACCCAGAAAUAACUAUCUAAAUAACCCACGAAAAAUCUCUAUUUCAAACCAUUUUCAACUUGUGAACCAAAAGAGAAAAAAUUUGGAAAUCUUUCUGAGGUUUUCUAAAGUCUGAAAAAAACACUUUUUGCAGAGAAUAAUGUUUAUGAGUGUUGAUGAUUGCUAAAGAUCCUCCUUAUUGUGUGAGGGAAUAUUUUCUUUUAUAGAGUGCACAAAAAAGCAUCCAAGAAAGAAUAUUCUGACCUAGUACAACAUAUUUUUACAAUUAUACUGUCUUUUUUCCUUAUCCAAAACCAGUAUUUGCUAAGGAUAAGGACAGUUGUCCUAAGUUCUAGAAUUUUCUGAUUUUAGCCUAAGUAAAAAUCCAAUUUUACCCUUUAAGUUACUACUUAUUUUAGUUCUAAUCUAAAUUUUCAGGUUCAAUUGAGUCUCUAAAGUUUCUAUCUGUGAGCAAAUUAGAACAAACAAAGACAAAGCUAAAAAGGGUUGGAAAUUUGGAUCAAAAUGCCUAAGAAGGUCAAACGGGUGAAGUCCAAACUUAAUAGAAGGAAAUGCUUAAUUGAUUAAAACCAAAUUAGAACUGAAACUAACAACUAACGCAUUUAAACAGUAAUCAAACAAAACCAGAAAUACAAAUUCAAGGAAACAAACUAGAAUUCAAACUAUAUCAAUUUGCAAAACUUAAACAACUGAAACAACAAAAUCUAAAUAAUUGUUAAUCCUUUUAUAAUAAGCCAUUAGGCCAGUUUAGGAAAACAGAGCAAUCAAUUGACAUGUUGAAUCUUAGAGGUUGAAACCUAAGCUAACUAGAAACAUGAUUUUCUCUUCUUCUUUUUUUAAUCUAACAAACAAAACAAGCAUCAAACAAAGUUAAGGGUCUGUAAAUUCAAAGAAGGCAGGUACAAAAUAAAACAUGCAGUCAUAACAAGAAUAAUUAAACAUGCAAAAAAGAACCAAAAUAAAAACCAAACAAUCACAAGAAAAGAAAAGAAUUUACCGGAGUUUAUUUCAAAACUGGGUCAAUUCACGAACUCGUCCAAACUCUUUGAAGUGUAAAUAAACUUGACUACCAUUAAUCAACUGUUCUUAACAAGAACAGUCGACUAAUGGAGGUUUUAAGUUCACUUGACCAAACUUUGAUCGAAAAAUCAGAAAGGGGAAAUAUUAGGGCUCAAUGAAUAUGAGAUUUAAGAUUCGUGGAGUUUGGCUGGGAUUUUUGGGAAAUCAAUGGUGAGACAGUGGUGAGGGAAGGAUGAGGACUAUGGGGCAUGAUUUUGGGAUCAUUUGAGUGAUUUAGGGUUUUUGGGCCUACUUUCGAUUUAAGAUUCGAGCAUAUCGGCAGGGAUUCGAGGCAAGCUAAUUGGGCUGGUU